This 539-nucleotide ribosomal RNA is filed under the name uncultured bacterium. RNAcentral describes it as "bacterial SSU rRNA". It matches the Rfam family "Bacterial small subunit ribosomal RNA", at positions 356 to 896 of the family's 1533-position model. The record is from RNAcentral.
GAGGAAUAUUGGUCAAUGGACGAAAGUCUGAACCAGCCAAGUAGCGUGCAGGAUGACGGCCCUAUGGGUUGUAAACUGCUUUUGUAUGGGGAUAAAGUCAAUCACGUGUGAUUGUUUGCAGGUACCAUACGAAUAAGGACCGGCUAAUUCCGUGCCAGCAGCCGCGGUAAUACGGAAGGUUCGGGCGUUAUCCGGAUUUAUUGGGUUUAAAGGGAGCGUAGGCCGGAGAUUAAGUGUGUUGUGAAAUGUAGACGCUCAACGUCUGACUUGCAGCGCAUACUGGUUUCCUUGAGUACGCACAACGUUGGCGGAAUUCGUCGUGUAGCGGUGAAAUGCUUAGAUAUGACGAAGAACUCCGAUUGCGAAGGCAGCUGACGGGAGCGCAACUGACGCUGAAGCUCGAAGGUGCGGGUAUCGAACAGGAUUAGAUACCCUGGUAGUCCGCACAGUAAACGAUGGAUGCCCGCUGUUGGUACCUGGUAUCAGCGGCUAAGCGAAAGCAUUAAGCAUCCCACCUGGGGAGUACGCCGGCAACGGUG